AGCGAACGCUGGCGGCAGGCCUAACACAUGCAAGUCGAACGAAGUCUUCGGACUCAGUGGCGGACGGGUGAGUAACACGUGGGAACGUGCCUUUAGGUUCGGAAUAACUCAGGGAAACUUGUGCUAAUACCGAAUGUGCCCUUCGGGGGAAAGAUUUAUCGCCUUUAGAGCUGCCCGCGUCUGAUUAGCUAGUUGGUGAGGUAAAGGCUCACCAAGGCGACGAUCAGUAGCUGGUCUGAGAGGAUGAUCAGCCACAUUGGGACUGAGACACGGCCCAAACUCCUACGGGAGGCAGCAGUGGGGAAUCUUGCGCAAUGGGCGAAAGCCUGACGCAGCCAUGCCGCGUGAAUGAUGAAGGUCUUAGGAUUGUAAAAUUCUUUCACCGGGGACGAUAAUGACGGUACCCGGAGAAGAAGCCCCGGCUAACUUCGUGCCAGCCGCCGCCGUAA
Molecule: ribosomal RNA, 449 nt
Filed under: uncultured bacterium
Lineage: Bacteria
Description: partial 16S ribosomal RNA
Rfam family: Bacterial small subunit ribosomal RNA
Source: RNAcentral